RNAcentral lists this ribosomal RNA (490 nucleotides) under uncultured bacterium. Its description in RNAcentral is "partial 16S ribosomal RNA". It matches the Rfam family "Bacterial small subunit ribosomal RNA", at positions 29 to 507 of the family's 1533-position model. The record is from RNAcentral.
AUGAACGCUAGCUACAGGCUUAACACAUGCAAGUCGAGGGGAAACGGCAUCGAAAGCUUGCUUUUGAUGGGCGUCGACCGGCGCACGGGUGAGUAACGCGUAUCCAACCUGCCCAUCACUUGGGAAUAACCUUGCGAAAGUAAGACUAAUGCCCAAUGACAUCCCACGAAGGCAUCCGAAUGGGAUUAAAGAUUUAUCGGUGAUGGAUGGGGAUGCGUCUGAUUAGCUUGUUGGCGGGGUGACGGCCCACCAAGGCAACGAUCAGUAGGGGUUCUGAGAGGAGGGUCCCCACAUUGGAACUGAGACACGGUCCAAACUCCUACGGGAGGCAGCAGUGAGGAAUAUUGGUCAAUGGGCGAGAGCCUGAACCAGCCAAGUAGCGUGCAGGAUGACGGCCCUAUGGGUUGUAAACUGCUUUUAUAAGGGAAUAAAGUGGGUCACGUGUGACUUUUUGCAUGUACCUUAUGAAUAAGGACCGGCUAAUUCCGUG